GGGCCGGUAGCUCAGUUGGUCAGAGCAGCGGACUCAUAAUCCGUCGGUCGGUGGUUCGAAUCCACCCCGGCCCA
Molecule: transfer RNA, 74 nt
Filed under: Actinomycetes bacterium
Lineage: Bacteria; Bacillati; Actinomycetota; Actinomycetes
Also listed under: 2 other names
Description: Actinobacteria bacterium tRNA-Met
Rfam family: tRNA
About the family: Transfer RNA (tRNA) molecules are approximately 80 nucleotides in length. Their secondary structure includes four short double-helical elements and three loops (D, anti-codon, and T loops).
Source: RNAcentral